UACGUAGGGUGCAAGCGUUGUCCGGAAUUAUUGGGCGUAAAGAGCUCGUAGGCGGUUUGUCGCGUCUGCUGUGAAAACCCGAGGCUCAACCCGGGCCUGCAGUGGGUACGGGCAGACUAGAGUGCGGUAGGGGAGAUUGGAAUUCCUGGUGUAGCGGUGGAAUGCGCAGAUAUCAGGAGGAACACCAAUGGCGAAGGCAGAUCUCUGGGCCGUAACUGACGCUGAGGAGCGAAAGCAUGGGGAGCGAACAGG
Molecule: ribosomal RNA, 252 nt
Filed under: uncultured bacterium
Lineage: Bacteria
Description: partial 16S ribosomal RNA
Rfam family: Bacterial small subunit ribosomal RNA
Source: RNAcentral